Molecule: long non-coding RNA, 450 nt
Filed under: Phascolarctos cinereus (koala)
Lineage: Eukaryota; Metazoa; Chordata; Mammalia; Diprotodontia; Phascolarctidae
Description: lncRNA (ENSPCIG00000023075.2)
Source: RNAcentral
CGUCUGCCUCUCACUGUUUCCCAGCUCUUUGGCCAGAAGGAAGAAACGUUCUGACUUCAGUAAUGUGUGAUCUCCAGGAGACAGAGAAUUGGCAGAAUUCUGAAAAUGAAGACUCUUUUUCCAAAGUGAAUUGCCGGCCAUCAGCAGAGCUUCCUUGGGGCAGUGCAGACCCGGCUCUCUACUGACCAGCAAGGCAGACCAGCCGACCAAGCUCUGAAAUUCUCUGGUUCAGUGAUUGCUGAGUAUAUGAGCUACACCUGGGAUGUGCUCACAGGGGAGCAAACCCAAGACCCUCAGGCCACUAUUCAGCCCCAUCACUUUACUUGUCUCUGGAAUAGUAGCCAAGUCAAGAGGGGACCCACUAUGACCAGUCAUUGGUGCUGUGAUCUGACAGGUAAAUAAUGUGUGUAAGUAGAGGACACUCAGAAUAAAGCUCAUUGAAUCACUGCA